CGGACGGGUGAGUAAUGUCUGGGAAACUGCCUGAUGGAGGGGGAUAACUACUGGAAACGGUAGCUAAUACCGCAUAACGCCGCAAGACCAAAGAGGGGGACCUUCGGGCCUCUUGCCAUCGGAUGUGCCCAGAUGGGAUUAGCUAGUAGGUGGGGUAACGGCUCACCUAGGCGACGAUCCCUAGCUGGUCUGGGAGGAUGACCAGCCACACUGGAACUGAGACACGGUCCAG
Molecule: ribosomal RNA, 232 nt
Filed under: uncultured bacterium
Lineage: Bacteria
Description: partial 16S ribosomal RNA
Rfam family: Bacterial small subunit ribosomal RNA
Source: RNAcentral